GUCCUCUUUGGAAAACGCCACUGUGAGAGAAGGCGCAGCUGAGGGCACGAGAGAGAGAAACUAAUGAAGCCUGUUUAUUCGCCUUUUGUAAACUCUGUGCAGGUGGAGAAAAUAAAUGCUCCCUCAUGUUAAGCUGGUGUGCUAAUGUCAUCACUUCCACAAUGCAUCAUUAAAACCCUACACAACGCAGAAGUAAUCCCGUUACAAAGUGGUGCCGUGACCGUGGCUGAUGACUGGUCAGCAGACUGCAGACCACCGUGCGUGCUGCUAAGUGAUGACUA
Long non-coding RNA from Pygocentrus nattereri (red-bellied piranha), 281 nucleotides. RefSeq lists it as uncharacterized. Lineage: Eukaryota; Metazoa; Chordata; Actinopteri; Characiformes; Serrasalmidae. The transcript is spliced from 3 exons. The record is from RefSeq and is a predicted model, not a curated record.